CAACUCGACUACAUGAAGCUGGAAUCGCUAGUAAUCGCAAAUCAGAAUGUUGCGGUGAAUACGUUCCCGGGUCUUGUAACACACCGCCCGUCACACCAUGGGAGUCGGAAAUGCCCGAAGUCUGUGACCCAACGAAAGAGGGAGCAGCCGAAGGCAGGUCUGAUAACUGGGGUGAAGUCGUAACAAGGUACC
Molecule: ribosomal RNA, 192 nt
Filed under: uncultured bacterium
Lineage: Bacteria
Description: partial 16S ribosomal RNA
Rfam family: Bacterial small subunit ribosomal RNA
Source: RNAcentral